CAAAGCAAAUAACACCAGGAUAAUCUUCAGCAAGAAGAGCACACAACAAUCAUGCCUCAAUUGAUAAAUAGUAAUACAACAAUCAACAUUUAUAAAAAAAACUUGACUCCAAAGAGCAUUGUAUUGUCCCUUCUGAAUAUAAGCCAAGCAAAAUAACAUGGGCUCUUUAACCUGCCCCACAAAAAAUGCACUAUAAUUUUAACAGAUUGGUUGAAAGAAGAAGCCAAGUAACCUGAAACACAAAUAUGAGGUCACCUACCAAUUUUCUACAAAAGAGAGACGAACAUUCACACGAGAGAGUUGGUCACCUUGUUCUUCACCAAAUCUUCUAUUGGAUUCUUCUGUUCAUCUUCUUUCUCAAAUCUGGAAAAUUGUGGUGUUUAGAUAAAUCGUAUAUCAGGAAAUCAAGACCAAUGACAAGAAAUAAAUAGGUAAAGGGAGAACCUAAAACUGUUCUUUCACACGAGCACCCCCUCUUCUCCGCCCCUUCAAUAGGAGCUGCAGGUCACCGCCUCCAUCUCCCUCACCCCUGCAUAUCACCGCCUCUCGCCCUCCCUCGACAUCCGGGCCACGGAGCAAGGGACGAAGGAUGGAGGCGUACCAGGGGUCGAUGGUAAGUCGAGCGACGAAGGACGAGGCCGGCCGCACGGGGGAGGGAGGAGGACCAACGAGCUCAGCGGGUGGGAAGCCAUGAAGGAAAAGAUCUCACCGCCUCCAACUCGAGCUCGUCGGCGAGCCGUCCUCUCCUGCCCCGCCUUAGCACCUCCAU
RNAcentral lists this long non-coding RNA (769 nucleotides) under Triticum aestivum (bread wheat). RNAcentral's name for it is "long non-coding RNA (TAES_LNC015981)". Lineage: Eukaryota; Viridiplantae; Streptophyta; Magnoliopsida; Poales; Poaceae. The record is from RNAcentral.